This 94-nucleotide microRNA precursor is filed under the name Chlorocebus sabaeus (green monkey). RNAcentral's name for it is "miRNA (ENSCSAG00000020565.1)". The record is from RNAcentral. Lineage: Eukaryota; Metazoa; Chordata; Mammalia; Primates; Cercopithecidae.
GCCCACCUCAGCCUCCCAAAGUACUGGGAUUACAGGCAUGAGCCACUGCGCCCGGCCCUCAUGUUGAAAUUUAAUCCUCAAUGUGGCAGUAUUG